GGAAGGAGCCCAAGCGGUCGCUGCCCCUUUGAGGGGGAGAGGAAAGUCCGGGCUCCACAGGGCAGGGCGCUGGAAAAAUUCCAGUGGGCGUGAGCCCAAGGAAAGUGCCACAGAAACAUACCGCCCGGCACUCAUUAUAGAGUUUGGCGCAAAGCAAACCAUGACCAGCUUCAUUGAAAGCGUUAUUUCCCAACAGGCCUCCAAACCCUGUAAUGAGUGCCGGGUAAGGGUGAAAAGGUGGGGUAAGAGCCCACCAGCUGUCGGGUGACCGACAGGCUAGGCAAACCCCGCCCGGAGCAAGACCGAAUAGGAGGGGAUGAGGCUGCCCGCUGACCCUCGGGUACGGUCGCUUGAGGGCCGGCGAAAGCCGGCUCCUAGAUAAAUGACCGCCUCGCACAGAACCCGGCUUAGGGGUUGCUUCCCGCG
This 426-nucleotide RNase P RNA is filed under the name Synergistaceae bacterium. Its description in RNAcentral is "RNase P RNA component class A". It matches the Rfam family "Bacterial RNase P class A". From Rfam's summary of the family: Ribonuclease P (RNase P) is a ubiquitous endoribonuclease, found in archaea, bacteria and eukarya as well as chloroplasts and mitochondria. Its best characterised activity is the generation of mature 5'-ends of tRNAs by cleaving the 5'-leader elements of precursor-tRNAs. RNAcentral also lists the same sequence under 3 other names. The record is from RNAcentral. Lineage: Bacteria; Thermotogati; Synergistota; Synergistia; Synergistales; Synergistaceae.